CAGCCUCACCGGAACUUCCCCAUCCUCCUGGCUUGGUUCCUGAAGUGGCCCAAGGCUGCCUUCUCCCUCCCGUGGGUGAACAGGGUCACUGCUUCCUCUCUUGUCCAGGCCCCCUGGCCUGACCCUGAGUCCCGGGCGUAACGGCGUUGUUGAACCACCACAACCCCAGGCGGCGCCUUCCUCUUGGCCCAGGGGCUCUCUUGGGGACAGUGUGCAGUACUCCCCAAGGGGGCUUUGCUGUGCAAAAGCAGCCCCUGCCGAUGCUGCGGCUCCCGUGGAUGGAGCACUGCCGUGGGAACAGAGUUGGAACUCAUCCAAAAGAAUAAAAGACAACUGUGUUGGAAGAUUGCCAAGGUUUGUAGCUGUGCCACCGCAGACUUCAGAGAUGAACACUGCCUUGGAGACGAGGAGGAUUCAAGUUGCAGAAGCAUUUAGCAGGAAUCAGGAAAAUAUAAACUGCUUGAAGUACCAGUCUUCUUUACGAAGUCUUCACGUGCCCCAGGAGUCCUCCAGUUAGGGUGCCAUUAGCCAGGAGAGCUCCUGCCCAGAAUUUGUACCCAGCCACAUUGACACCCAGAAUGGAGCUACCUUGCCCAGCUUCCCUUACAACCAGGCAAGGAUGUCACAAUGUAGAACCAAUGGGAUGAAGGCAGAAACGUUGUGCGGCAGCUGCUGAGAACCUUCCUUAAAACCUAGUCAGAAUGAACCCUAUACAACCCUAUACCCAUCUGCCUUGGCAUACAGUUGUUGAAUCCUGGGCUGCGAGGACAGAGGUCCCUUCCAGGGGUGAUGGAGUGCCCGUCGCAGAAGGGGAAGGCAGAGAUUUGAAGCAUGAGAAGGAUUCGCCAUGCAAUUAUUGGCUUGAAGAUGAGGGCAUCUGCAUGUCAAGGAGAUAGGGAUCUCAGUUUCACAACUGCAAUGAACUGAAUUCUGCUAACAACCUAGAUGCACUGCCCAACCUGAUCACAACUAAUGCACAAACAAAUAAUCCAAGGCUGAACUGUUGACUGUGGAGACAGGAGAUGCAGUGAAGAAUAUUUCUAUUUGAGUGACCCAGGUGGAGGAAGAGAGUGGAGGCAAGAAUAUAGAUGUAAGCAUCCUUGACCUCCCCAAUUCAUUGCUGGGCAGGAGGCAGAUAAACAGAGGCUUCCAGAAGGGUUCAUGUGAGUCCUGGAGCAGAAGGUUUGUCCAUGCAUCUUCAGACAUGGCCUGGAAAGAUUACUCACCUCUCAGAAAAAUCUGGGGGGCUGCUGCUUCUCAUAUUGAGUUAGAAGGCAGAGCUUGGACACUGGACCAAAUUGAGGACUAGCUAAAAUGCGGAUGGGGCAAAAACAACUUUCUAUAAGAUAUGCCCAACAGAGUGCCAUGUCGGUUUACCAUUGCCAGGGCAACACUCGAGCGGUACCACCUUUGUCCAUGGCAAUGACUCAACCACCUAGAAAUUACCACUCUUUUUCAAGAAAUUUUUGCAUAAUCUGUCCCUUAAUUUUCAAAGUAAAUAUAAGUGUGAGUACAAAACUGCUUCUGAGCUGCUGCUCUGGGCACACUGCCUCUGGGGUAGCCCUGCUCCACAAGGCACAACACCUCUGCUGCUGCUUCAAUAGAAGUUGCUGUCUAGCACCACUGGCUCACCCUUAAAUUCUUUCCUGGGCAAAGGCAACAACCCUCCCAGGUGAAGCCUC
RNAcentral lists this long non-coding RNA (1682 nucleotides) under Homo sapiens (human). RNAcentral's name for it is "long non-coding RNA NONHSAT182550.1". The record is from RNAcentral. Lineage: Eukaryota; Metazoa; Chordata; Mammalia; Primates; Hominidae.